GGUUAAGCGACUAAGCGUACACGGUGGAUGCCCUGGCAGUCAGAGGCGAUGAAGGACGUGCUAAUCUGCGAUAAGCGUCGGUAAGGUGAUAUGAACCGUUAUAACCGGCGAUUUCCGAAUGGGGAAACCCAGUGUGAUUCGUCACACUAUCAUUAACUGAAUCCAUAGGUUAAUGAGGCGAACCGGGGGAACUGAAACAUCUAAGUACCCCGAGGAAAAGAAAUCAACCGAGAUUCCCCCAGUAGCGGCGAGCGAACGGGGAGCAGCCCAGAGCCUGAAUCAGUGUGUGUGUUAGUGGAAGCGUCUGGAAAGGCGCGCGAUACAGGGUGACAGCCCCGUACACAAAAAUGCACAUACUGUGAGCUCGAUGAGUAGGGCGGGACACGUGGUAUCCUGUCUGAAUAUGGGGGGGCCAUCCUCCAAGGCUAAAUACUCCUGACUGACCGAUAGUGAACCAGUACCGUGAGGGAAAGGCGAAAAGAACCCCGGCGAGGGGAGUGAAAAAGAACCUGAAACCGUGUACGUACAAGCAGUGGGAGCCUCUUUAUGGGGUGACUGCGUACCUUUUGUAUAAUGGGUCAGCGACUUAUAUUCUGUAGCAAGGUUAACCGAAUAGGGGAGCCGAAGGGAAACCGAGUCUUAACUGGGCGUUAAGUUGCAGGGUAUAGACCCGAAACCCGGUGAUCUAGCCAUGGGCAGGUUGAAGGUUGGGUAACACUAACUGGAGGACCGAACCGACUAAUGUUGAAAAAUUAGCGGAUGACUUGUGGCUGGGGGUGAAAGGCCAAUCAAACCGGGAGAUAGCUGGUUCUCCCCGAAAGCUAUUUAGGUAGCGCCUCGUGAAUUCAUCUCCGGGGGUAGAGCACUGUUUCGGCAAGGGGGUCAUCCCGACUUACCAACCCGAUGCAAACUGCGAAUACCGGAGAAUGUUAUCACGGGAGACACACGGCGGGUGCUAACGUCCGUCGUGAAGAGGGAAACAACCCAGACCGCCAGCUAAGGUCCCAAAGUCAUGGUUAAGUGGGAAACGAUGUGGGAAGGCCCAGACAGCCAGGAUGUUGGCUUAGAAGCAGCCAUCAUUUAAAGAAAGCGUAAUAGCUCACUGGUCGAGUCGGCCUGCGCGGAAGAUGUAACGGGGCUAAACCAUGCACCGAAGCUGCGGCAGCGACGCUUAUGCGUUGUUGGGUAGGGGAGCGUUCUGUAAGCCUGUGAAGGUGUACUGUGAGGUAUGCUGGAGGUAUCAGAAGUGCGAAUGCUGACAUAAGUAACGAUAAAGCGGGUGAAAAGCCCGCUCGCCGGAAGACCAAGGGUUCCUGUCCAACGUUAAUCGGGGCAGGGUGAGUCGACCCCUAAGGCGAGGCCGAAAGGCGUAGUCGAUGGGAAACAGGUUAAUAUUCCUGUACUUGGUGUUACUGCGAAGGGGGGACGGAGAAGGCUAUGUUGGCCGGGCGACGGUUGUCCCGGUUUAAGCGUGUAGGCUGGUUUUCCAGGCAAAUCCGGAAAAUCAAGGCUGAGGCGUGAUGACGAGGCACUACGGUGCUGAAGCAACAAAUGCCCUGCUUCCAGGAAAAGCCUCUAAGCAUCAGGUAACAUCAAAUCGUACCCCAAACCGACACAGGUGGUCAGGUAGAGAAUACCAAGGCGCUUGAGAGAACUCGGGUGAAGGAACUAGGCAAAAUGGUGCCGUAACUUCGGGAGAAGGCACGCUGAUAUGUAGGUGAAGUCCCUCGCGGAUGGAGCUGAAAUCAGUCGAAGAUACCAGCUGGCUGCAACUGUUUAUUAAAAACACAGCACUGUGCAAACACGAAAGUGGACGUAUACGGUGUGACGCCUGCCCGGUGCCGGAAGGUUAAUUGAUGGGGUUAGCGGUAACGCGAAGCUCUUGAUCGAAGCCCCGGUAAACGGCGGCCGUAACUAUAACGGUCCUAAGGUAGCGAAAUUCCUUGUCGGGUAAGUUCCGACCUGCACGAAUGGCGUAAUGAUGGCCAGGCUGUCUCCACCCGAGACUCAGUGAAAUUGAACUCGCUGUGAAGAUGCAGUGUACCCGCGGCAAGACGGAAAGACCCCGUGAACCUUUACUAUAGCUUGACACUGAACAUUGAGCCUUGAUGUGUAGGAUAGGUGGGAGGCUUUGAAGUGUAGACGCCAGUCUGCAUGGAGCCGACCUUGAAAUACCACCCUUUAAUGUUUGAUGUUCUAACGUUGACCCGUAAUCCGGGUUGCGGACAGUGUCUGGUGGGUAGUUUGACUGGGGCGGUCUCCUCCUAAAGAGUAACGGAGGAGCACGAAGGUUGGCUAAUCCUGGUCGGACAUCAGGAGGUUAGUGCAAUGGCAUAAGCCAGCUUGACUGCGAGCGUGACGGCGCGAGCAGGUGCGAAAGCAGGUCAUAGUGAUCCGGUGGUUCUGAAUGGAAGGGCCAUCGCUCAACGGAUAAAAGGUACUCCGGGGAUAACAGGCUGAUACCGCCCAAGAGUUCAUAUCGACGGCGGUGUUUGGCACCUCGAUGUCGGCUCAUCACAUCCUGGGGCUGAAGUAGGUCCCAAGGGUAUGGCUGUUCGCCAUUUAAAGUGGUACGCGAGCUGGGUUUAGAACGUCGUGAGACAGUUCGGUCCCUAUCUGCCGUGGGCGCUGGAGAACUGAGGGGGGCUGCUCCUAGUACGAGAGGACCGGAGUGGACGCAUCACUGGUGUUCGGGUUGUCAUGCCAAUGGCACUGCCCGGUAGCUAAAUGCGGAAGAGAUAAGUGCUGAAAGCAUCUAAGCACGAAACUUGCCCCGAGAUGAGUUCUCCCUGACUCCUUGAGAGCCCUGAAGGAACGUUGAAGACGACGACGUUGAUAGGCCGGGUGUGUAAGCGCAGCGAUGCGUUGAGCUAACCGGUACUAAUGAACCGUGAGGCUUAACCUU
RNAcentral lists this ribosomal RNA (2905 nucleotides) under Escherichia coli. RNAcentral describes it as "23S ribosomal RNA". It matches the Rfam family "Bacterial large subunit ribosomal RNA". Lineage: Bacteria; Pseudomonadati; Pseudomonadota; Gammaproteobacteria; Enterobacterales; Enterobacteriaceae. The record is from RNAcentral.